CCUACGGGAGGCAGCAGUGAGGAAUAUUGGUCAAUGGACGAGAGUCUGAACCAGCCAAGUAGCGUGAAGGAUGACUGCCCUAUGGGUUGUAAACUUCUUUUAUAUGGGAAUAAAAUGUGCCACGUGUGGGAUUUUGUAUGUACCAUAUGAAUAAGGAUCGGCUAACUCCGUGCCAGCAGCAGCGGUAAUACGGAGGAUCCGAGCGUUAUCCGGAUUGAUUGGGUUUAAAGGGAGCGUCGGUGGAUUGUUAAGUCAGUUGUGAAAGUUUGCGGCUCAACCGUAAAAUUGCCGUUGAAACUGGCAGUCUUGAGUCCAGUCGAGGUGGGCGGCAUUCGUGGUGUAGCGGUUCUAUGCUUAGUUCUCAC
RNAcentral lists this ribosomal RNA (365 nucleotides) under uncultured bacterium. RNAcentral describes it as "partial 16S ribosomal RNA". It matches the Rfam family "Bacterial small subunit ribosomal RNA", at positions 338 to 700 of the family's 1533-position model. The record is from RNAcentral.